GAAAAAAUGGCUCAUUUAGCUUCUAGGGGAGGAGAUGUGCUUCCUUCUUUUGGUCAUGGAGCUGGCUCACCGUGGUUAGCAACAAAUGACUACGUGCAAAAGUUGGCUGAAGAAAGUUCUGCUCUGGAUGCUGAAAUCUCAGGAUGUCUUCAUCUCCUCUAUCAUCCUGGCUUGCUCAGUGGCCGUUUUUGUCCAGAUGCUUCUCCUUCUGGUUCAUCAGGUGUGCUUCGAAGACCU
This 237-nucleotide unclassified non-coding RNA is filed under the name Hevea brasiliensis (rubber tree). Lineage: Eukaryota; Viridiplantae; Streptophyta; Magnoliopsida; Malpighiales; Euphorbiaceae. The record is from RNAcentral.